This 30-nucleotide non-coding RNA is filed under the name Rattus norvegicus (Norway rat). Lineage: Eukaryota; Metazoa; Chordata; Mammalia; Rodentia; Muridae. The record is from RNAcentral.
UNUGGUUGCUACUGUAUUUGUACACAUGAA